UUGGUACAUUUUUUUUAGCCAAUUGUAUUACCAAAUAUAAGCAUUUGAAGCUCAUUUUCACUUACAAACUUAGGAAGCUCCUCAACAUAAAAUCUAUUAAUACACAAUCCAAAUAAGAUUAUAAUGCGCUACAUGUCUGUCCAUUCUCCAACUUACAACCAUCAUUAAAACUAUAACUGACUCUGCUACACUUUAACGGAUGGUAUUAUCUUACAAACAGAAUAAAUCGUCUCUUGUUUUCAUUGUUAAGAGAACAACCUAUCUUAGAAAGCCAUGACUUCCCAGUAAGAUAAAAGUUCGUCAAACAAAUUAGCAUCAGCACACAAAAUGGUUGUCAUCCUGCCAUGCCAUAGUCCUCUGCCUGAUCAUAAAGAUUGUAGCUUCCCGGUACUCCCAUCUUUCCAGUUAGGUGGUCGUCUCCUGCAUCAAAUGAUUUGGUAACAAACAAAAUCACCUAUUCAAAGUUCAUAUUCACACCCCACACCAAGUCACUUUAAAAGAACGGGCAGUAUUCAUCCGGACCUAACGACUACAUCUAAUAGACACCAUUAUAUAUCACUAUCAAUAAAUCCUUUUAAAAAUGUAAAAGGGAACAUUUGAAAGGAGUUUAGUUCUGUGUAUUUUCUACUAAUAAUACAAUAACACUAUUCAAACCUAGCAUAAUUGUUGAAUGCAUACACUAUAUAACAAGUUCAGAUAUGGUGAGGCAGUAAAACAAUAAGGGAAAGGCCCUAGGUAGAGUCAACAGAGAAGGACAUGCUAUCCAUGGUUUCAGCUGAAAGUAUGUUUUAUGAAAGAAGAAUAGGAUUCCAGAAAGUCUUCCUCAGCUGGCCUGAGUUGCUAGAUUCAUCGAUAAAAAUGAAAGUUUGAUAUCCAUGUAGUCUACAGAUACCUUUCAUCAUUACCUUAAAAGACAUAACAUGGAUGUGACAAAAUUUUAUCAAAAGGCAACUAUAUUAUUCUUUCACAAGGCACUGAAGGUGUUCUGAAACUGCUAACUUUUCCAUUUCUUGUUAUGGUUCUACUGAUUUUUUUAAUCUUUUAAGACCAUUUCUACUCUAAUCUGUGCCAUAACAUUACAACAUUAUAUUUUUAUGUUGAAAAGAAAAUGAAAGAGUUAAAAUGUACGUACUUUGAUUUGGUAACACACCCAAGAAAUGCAAUUCAGAGCUUAUCUCAGGGCUCUGGAAGCACAGAUCGUCGGCCCUUGGAGGGUUUUGCUGGGAGUGAAAUAUUUCUGGUUUUGUCUUCUUCUCAUUCGGUGAGUCAACUUCUGUUUCCACUUCUGAUUCAGCAUUGUUAGAUGAGGCAACCAAUUGUUUUCUUUUUGAUCGUGCACGCCUGUUUUGGAACCAAUUAUACACAUUUGUUUCAGAAAUUUGUCCAUGCUGGCUGAGUUCAGAGGUUAUCUCUUUAAUCUUUUGCUUGCUUGGAGUUCCAUUCCCCUGAUCAAAGAUACGUUCCAGAAUUUGAAGCUGCACAGGUGUCGGAGUCCAACGCUGUCUGGCAGUAAUUUUGUGUCCACCAGAAGCCAUUAAUGGAUCGCAGUACAGAUUUCCUAGCCUGCCUCCUGCAAGAUCUUGCUGGGCAGAGAGGGUCUUGUGCAUCUCAACAAGCUGCUCACAAAUGGUGGCAUAAACAGCAAUUUGCUUCCUAAGAGUUUCAAGUUGCUCAUCUGUCAUGACCUUGACGUACAGCAUUCCUCCAUUCCCAUUAUUCCCAUGAACACUGGUGAUAUUAUUUCCAUUUCUGUGUUCUCUCUGAUUCUGAUUUUCUUGCUGUUGCUGUUGAUUUUCUUGAUUAUUUUCCCACUCCAUUCUUACUCACUCAAACCAUGAACAGCCCUCUUCUCCUCCCUACUCUCUCUCAGAGAAACAGAGAAAACAAGAGAAAAGAAAAAGAAAAGAAAGUAAUGAGCAGUAGAGAAUGUGAAAGAACAGACAAAAGCUAUGGUGAAAGAACGUGAGAUUGCACUGCGAUGGCGGUCUGGUCAAAAAUAUCCUCCUCGGCGUACUUUAGCAUCUCCGUGCAUCUCGUUUUCG
Molecule: unclassified non-coding RNA, 2042 nt
Filed under: Hevea brasiliensis (rubber tree)
Lineage: Eukaryota; Viridiplantae; Streptophyta; Magnoliopsida; Malpighiales; Euphorbiaceae
Source: RNAcentral